AGUGAACGCUGGCGGUAGGCCUAACACAUGCAAGUCGAACGGCAGCACAGUAAGAGCUUGCUCUUACGGGUGGCGAGUGGCGGACGGGUGAGGAAUACAUCGGAAUCUACUUUUUCGUGGGGGAUAACGUAGGGAAACUUACGCUAAUACCGCAUACGACCUACGGGUGAAAGCAGGGGAUCGUCGGACCUUGCGCGAUUGAAUGAGCCGAUGUCGGAUUAGCUAGUUGGCGGGGUAAAGGCCCACCAAGGCGACGAUCCGUAGCUGGUCUGUGAGGAUGAUCAGCCACACUGGAACUGGGACACGGUCCAGAGUCCUACGGGAGGCAGCAGUGGGGAAUAUUGGACAGUGGGCGCAAGCCUGAUCCAGCCAUACCGCGUGGGUGAAGAAGGCCUUCGGGUUGUAAAGCCCUUUUGUUGGGAAAGAAAAGCAGCAGGUUAAUACCCCGCUGUUCUGAGGGUACCCAAAGAAUAAGCACCGGCUAACUUCGUG
Molecule: ribosomal RNA, 492 nt
Filed under: uncultured bacterium
Lineage: Bacteria
Description: partial 16S ribosomal RNA
Rfam family: Bacterial small subunit ribosomal RNA
Source: RNAcentral